RNAcentral lists this long non-coding RNA (2309 nucleotides) under Sus scrofa (pig). RNAcentral describes it as "lncRNA (ENSSSCG00060068376.1)". Lineage: Eukaryota; Metazoa; Chordata; Mammalia; Artiodactyla; Suidae. The record is from RNAcentral.
UUUUUUUUUUUUUUUUUUUGACUUUGAGAAAGCAUAAUUCUCUGAGUAUUAGUUUCCUCAUUUGUAAACAAGACUUUGAGACCCCUGGACAGUCUGCCCCAUGGCUCUGCUGGGAAUGUCAAAUGGGAUGAUCCCAAAAUAAGUGUGCUUUCUACACCACAAAGUCCUAAACACAUGGAAGGGAUUCUCAGCCAGCAGAUGCUAAAAGCAAAACUAAAAUCCAAACCAACCAAACAAAAACUCAAACUGAACACUUUCCUGAGACCGCGUCUCAGUGAGUCUCACAGCAUUGGCAGCUGUUGUGGCUGUUGGGGUCAACAUGCCAACACUCAAAACUCUACAGUUAAAUAAAAAUCAGAGUAGGUAGCCCAACUCCUGUUAAGGUAAUCCUUUGCAGAUUAAGUAGGCCAUCGAUAAUCUCUGGUUAACAUUUGACCCAAGCGUGUACCAGCUUUUCCCACCCUUGCUCUCCUCCAGCUGGUAGUCUGUUGUCUACUGCAUGCUAUUCUGAAGCUUUAGUAGCUUUUGAUCUCCUUGUGUGUAUACACACACACACACACACACACACACACACACACACACACACACACACACACACACACACCAUAUAUAUUAAAAAACCUUGACUUGACUGGCUCUGGAGUUUCAUAUAAGAUAGAGCUUGUUAGUAAAUGAAAGUGAUUCCUGAAAGUUGACAUAAAAACAUUGAGGCCAAGCUCUCUUCAAAGGGAAGAUACUGUAAGUCUCCCAAAGUCUAAUCAAAGUGAAUAAACAACAACAACAAAAAAAAAAACAAAAAAGGAGUUCCCAUCGUGGCUCAUUAUGUGCCCAUGGACGCACAGCCCUAUCAACAUGUUGUCUCUCCUUCUAUCCUUUUCUUUUUUCUUAUGGGAAAAUUUCAAACAUACAAAAAGAGAACAGUGUAACAAACAGACAUGUGCCCACCACCCAGUAUCAAUGACUCAUAUUUUGCCAUUCCUCCUGUAUCUAUGUCCACCUCCCAACUGUUCCUUUUAGGGAAUAUUAUAGAGCAAACACCAGACAUUGCACCAUUUCACCAUUAGUCCCUGGCAUUUUUCGCCUUUUCUUUUGUUUGUUUAAUGAUGAGCGACUCUGAGAACCCAGUGAAAUGUGCCGUUGUGGAUGGAGGUGGCCCGCUGCACAGAGGAAGACAGUCUGCAUGGCUCAUAUAUAUACGUGGUAUAUAGAUACGUAGAUAUAUUUUUUGGUCUUUUUAGGUCCACACCCACGUCAUAUGGAAGUUCCCAGGCUAGUGGUCCAAUCAGAGCUACAGGUGCCAGCCUAUACCACAGCCACAGCAACGCCAGAUCCAAGCACAUCUGUAACCUACACCACAGCUCACGUCAAUGCCGGAUCCUUAACCCACUGAGCAAGACCAGGGAUCAAACUUCUUUAUGGAUACUAGUUGGAUUCCUGUCUGCUGAGCCACAAUAGGAACCCUCCUAUAUCAAUUAACCAAACUUGGGCCAGCAAUCUAUCUAUUCAUUUGUUCUAUUUUUAUAUUAUCUCAUGGUAAGAAUGCUUCAAGUUGCCUUAUUAUUCAUGAAUAUUAUUUAAUGAAACAGGGGAUAGACAUGAGAUUGAUGACUGAGAUGGGGGCUGAGGACAUUUGAUGAAACCAACACAGUUGUCUUAGGUUCUGAGGAGGAUGGUUGGUUGGAAAGGAGCCUAGAGUGCCUGGUUAGGGAAUCCCAGUUGCUGGAAGGAUGGGACCCCGGACAGCUCCCCCUCCUCUAUGGUGCUUACAGGACGGUUUGAUGCUUUGAUGAGGCUUCAGCCACGAGUGGCUACAGGCUGUCCACGGUGGUGCUGACUCCAGGAACUGUGGAAUGGAGGAGCUAAGAAUUGCACACACUGCUAAUCAUUUAUUCUUGGAACUGUUCACCACGUGGGCUCUGUGACCUUGCAGCAUGAUCACGAACAGGUCUGUCACUAAAAUCCCAUUGGAUUCCAGAGAUUACAGUGCUCUGUGGGCUUUCCUGGCCUUCUUUGGCAGCAGGCAAGGUUGCUGGCUCAGAACUCACAAAUAAGAACACUCCUGUUCCUGGCUAGGUCUUUGGCCUCUGAGGCCAGGACACUGCAGCUUUGUGGAACCCUUAGGCUCUGACAGGAAGUUUGGCAUGCUGUGGCUAACAGCUACCUCUUCUAGCUCCAGUCACAUUAAAGGACUGACAAAGUCUCUCCUCGAUAUGCUGGCUGCUAGGUGGGAAGGCUUUGGAAUCACAACCAGGCUUGUGGGCCUCUGUGAUUUCCAGUUACCUUAAAGCGAUGGUUCUGGGGAGCUUGAA